Molecule: long non-coding RNA, 199 nt
Filed under: Gossypium raimondii (Peruvian cotton)
Lineage: Eukaryota; Viridiplantae; Streptophyta; Magnoliopsida; Malvales; Malvaceae
Description: long non-coding RNA (GRAI_LNC007964)
Source: RNAcentral
UCACUUGCAGUGGUGGAGCCAAGGGAGACAGGCAAAGGCACCUGCCUCUCCUAAAAUAGAAAAAUUUUCAUUUAGGCUCUUUAUAAUUUAUAAAAUUUUAAAUUAAUAACGGUAAAAUUACUCUUUGCCCCCCCAAAAUAAAAAAAUAUGAUUUAAAAUUACAUUUUUACUAUCGUCAAAAUAUACAAUUUAAUUCCCC